This 2497-nucleotide long non-coding RNA is filed under the name Mus musculus (house mouse). RNAcentral's name for it is "long non-coding RNA chr8:128688540-128691037". Lineage: Eukaryota; Metazoa; Chordata; Mammalia; Rodentia; Muridae. The record is from RNAcentral.
UUGGGACUUUGGUUAUAGGUUUUCAGACUUUUUUGUUUAUCAUAUGUCAAAUAGUUGGCAAUCAGGAAUGUGAGGAUAAAGGGGGAAAAGAUAGUAAUUGAGUCUUCUGGAUCAGAUCUAAAGUAGUAGCAGUAUACAGUCUCAGAAAUCAGAAGUGUACUGAGGUUAAAGGACAGUCCACACAAUUCUGACUGCUUAGAAAUUGACGUAGAUAGGUGAGGGCAGUGUAUCUCACUUUCAGGAGCUGUGUGAUAAAGAAUAAACUACUUCGUUAAUUUUCACAGUUUGAAAACUUUAUUUUUCUGUGUGUGGCUUUAGAAGAUAAAGAUAAUUAUCUUUACCAAUGUGUCUAGCAUGCAUAUUGUAAAUUUCUCAGGGUUUGAAAACUUUAUUUUUGGUGUGUGGCUUUCAGAAGAUAAGAAUAAUUAUCUUUACAAAUAUGUCUAGCAUGUAUAUUGUAAAUUUUUCAGAGUUUGAAAACUUUAUUUUUGGUGUGUGGCUUUAGAAGAUAAGAAUAAUUAUCUUUACCCGUAUGUCUAGCAUAUAUGUCAUCAUAAAAUGUAUACGUGAGAAAAGAGGCUCCUUCAAAUAUAUAUCAUAUUAGAGCAGACAUACAUGCCCAUAUAUAUCUGUAUGCACGCAAAUGCAUGUACAUAUUAAAUAUUACAAAUAUAAAUUUAUAUAAACAAGCAUAUAUAUAUAUAUAUAUAUAUAUAUAUAUAUAUGCAUACAUACAUAUCUCUUACUUGUAGGAGCAUUUUACCAAGGCUUCAAAAUAACAGGUUUCUAACCCCAGGGUUAUGUAAAAUAACUUAAUAGUCUGUAAGGAGUAUAAGCAUUUUAUUCUACUUAUUUUUUUUUUUUUUUUUUUUGUUUUUUCGAGACAGGGUUUCUCUGUGUAGCCCUGGCUGUCCUGGAACUCACUCUGUAGAACAGGCUGGCCUCGAACUCAGAAAUCCACCUGCCUCUACCUCCCGAGUGCUGGGAUUAAAGUGUGCCACCAUGCCCGGCUUUUGAGUAUAAGCAUUUUAUAAGAGCAUUCUCUGUUUAUAGCUUUUAAAAGUUCAACGUAUUUAUCAUGUAUAAUGUUAUUGCAUUGCUAUAAAAUAUAUGUUUUAAUUUAUAAAUAAUGGGUGCAUGGCCAAUUUUUUUUCUAGUGAUAGAGAUGAAACUCAAAAAGCUUAUAGAUCCCAAGUGGUAGCCAGUAGGGAAACAAGAAUUAUGUUGUGUAGGAAGGGGAAUUGGUGACCUGGGGUUCAUGUUGAGGGAAAUGGAAAGGUGAAUGGCCAGGUGGUGCAUUUACCCAGGGAGGCAGUGCUACUACAAGAGCGUAGGAUCUACCAUGCUGAGUUCUUUAAGGUGACCAUGGGGCCUAGAGUUUGGGAAUUUUCCAUCUAUCAAUGCUGGUUGAUAGUAUAGGCUGCAAAAUAAAAGCACCGGAGUGUAGAGUAGAGAAGGCUCUUGAGAGUAGGGAAAGUCGUUCACUUUCCCAUUUUCUUUGAACUUUUGGAUCCUUUGCCGGCCAUUUUAGAGAGUGUAGGAAUUUGUGGGGGUUUCCAGCAAUUAGCAUGUUUAAAUUAAAGACUAGUUUAUUUUUCACACCCAUUCCCCCAGAGCAGUGAUCAGAGCUGCAGUUUGAUUGAGGAGAGGCUUCACAUGGGAAACCUGGCUUUCAGUGCAGGUGCUGAACCUGGAUUACUGUAUGACAUUGGUGCACCACUCCCUAGGGCUUUGGUUUCACAUCUGCACUGUUGCUCUCACUUUGAGAUAAGAGGGAGUGACUGCCUGAUCUAAGUACUGAAGAGUACAAUUUUUGUUUUUUCAUGAGAAACCAUUUUCUUUAAAUUAAAAAAAAUACUUUAAAUUAUGUGUAGGUAUGUAUGUCUUCAUAUGACUUUGCACACAUGAGUGCAAGUUCCUUCAGAGGCCAGAGGCUUUAGAUUUCCUAGAGCUGGUGCUAUAGAAGGUUGUGAGCCACCUAAUAGGAGCUAUGGGAAGUCUGGGAAUUGAACUUGGGUUGUCUGGAAGAGCAGCAAAUGCUCUUGACUGUUGAGCCCUCUUUUGCCUGAGCAACCGUUUUGUGUCAUUAUGAGAAAGUAUAGAUGCUGUGCAAUUAACACUGGUUGUGCCAGGGCUGAUUUGUCACGUCUGUAACUGGCUGCUCUUUGUCAGGGUGUCUUUAGUAGUGCAUUGCAUUGUAGCUCGUCAGUGUACUGAGUCAUUGCCACUGCAAAGACAUGUGCUCAAAGAGUGUAAUUCAGGGGUCGGCAUGUCUUUGAUUUUGAGUAAAUUCCCUAGAUGGUUCAAUUGUGUUCCACUCAGGAAAACAUGACAAAGAAUAGUUUAUACAGUGUGCCAUCCCAGAUGAUACUCUCAGUUUUUUUUGAAGAAAAGGUCAGUGGUGGCUUAAGUGGUUUUGGAAGGCUUGAUGGAGAAGAUGAGGUCUGAGUGAGGAAUGGGCUGAUGGGUGAUAUGAAAGAUGUAUUUAAAAAAGAGC